GGAAGUAAAAGUCGCAACAAGGUUUCCGUAGGUGAACCUGCGGAAGGAUCAUUAUUGUAUAACCGAGGUGCGAGGGCUGUCGCUGACCCGAAAGGUCGUGCACGCCCGAGUGCCCUCACACACAUCCAUCUCACCCCUAUGUGCACCACCGCGUGGGUCCCCCUUUGGCUUGUUCGGAGGGGGGCUUACGUUUUCACACAAACUUUGUAUACAGUGUAGAAUGUAUUUUUUGUUUUUGCGAUCACGCAAUCAAUACAACUUUCAACAACGGAUCUCUUGGCUCUC
RNAcentral lists this unclassified non-coding RNA (285 nucleotides) under plant metagenome. RNAcentral describes it as "partial contains small subunit ribosomal RNA, internal transcribed spacer 1, and 5.8S ribosomal RNA". The stretch from base 1 to 54 matches the Rfam family "Eukaryotic small subunit ribosomal RNA", at positions 1778 to 1831 of the family's 1831-position model. The record is from RNAcentral.